This 1424-nucleotide long non-coding RNA is filed under the name Carassius auratus (goldfish). Its description in RNAcentral is "lncRNA (ENSCARG00000041810.1)". The record is from RNAcentral. Lineage: Eukaryota; Metazoa; Chordata; Actinopteri; Cypriniformes; Cyprinidae.
ACAGCUGUUGUAGUUAUUGCAUUGUCCUGUCAUCAUAAAAAUUACGUUUGUUUCAGUUACAAAAGUCCCGUGAUGGCACGGACCUCCACAACCUGACCUCACUCACUUGUUUAGGAACUUACAAGCUUUUCGUCGACACUGUUGCAAUGGCAUGUAAUUAACUUGGCAUUUUUUCUCGUCCUGUCAUCAUAAAAUCCAGUUUGAUGGCGUUUUACACACAUUUUGGCUAUAGUCAGAACUAAAAUCUGUGAUAGGAGCAUGGAGUGAGUAUGUGCUCUAACGCAAGUCAAUGGCACUCAUCUUCCGUGGUCCGUACAUGGAUCGUUUCAGUGAUGGAGUACAGACCUCACUCAAUGGACGUGCUAUCUCAUCUGGAAACGCAACAUUUGAAGUAUUUAUUUUUUUCAACACCAAAUACCAUGACCAACCUGACUGUUAUUCUGAAAAGACGUAAAGUAAGCAGUCACCCCAGUGGUGUUUGUGGAGAGGUAUUCCUUCAGAAAUGGAGAAGACAGAAAGCUGCAGAGGCAGGAUUGUUUCCAGAUAACACUGUAGAUCUCCCUCAUGCACAAGGAUUCACCUCUUUAACUCCCCCCCCCCCCCCACACACACACACAGAGAAAUGGUUCCUGGAUCAGUGACUCAAGACUGUGCAGUGGUUUGAUUUCUGCAGAAAAUGUAACUUUGUUUUAAUUAACCUUAUAAUGAAUACAUUGUGACCUUCCAGCAACCCAUAUACUGUACUGUAUACAGAACCAGUGAUGACAACAAUAGUUAAAAAAUAGCAUUUAUCAUAUUGAUAAAGCAUUGUGUUCUCUUUGUCAAGCUUCAUACAGUAAACUUUACUUCUGGUGCUUUUAUCAUAAAAAAGCUUCAGUUCUCAUCAGGAGUUUUAGUAAAGGACAUAUUCAUGCACAACAAUCCCCUAGUUCCAGUCAUGAAGUGAAUGAUGUUAUUGUUAAAGUUAUAUUUCUGCAUUUUUAUGUAGCAGGUGUUUGUUUUCCUGAACACUUUAUCUUUCUUCCAUUGUUCGGACAAUCAGUGUUUACGUGAUGCUCUGCUGAUUGAGUUUUAUAGAUGAUAUUGCACACUUGACAUGCAUGUCUUCAUGAUGUUUUUUGUGAGUUUGAAACAUUUACAUUGUGUUGUAUCACUUUUUGGUCAAUAGAAUCUUUUAAGAAAAUGUAUAUUUUUACGGUGUUCUCUGAAAGAUAUAUACCAUAUUUAUAAUGUUUUGUUUUUUAAUAAAAGAAUUUGCACACUGAAAAUUGUUAACGUUUACAACAUAACUGCCUUUUUUUUCUUCAUAGUUUUAUUCUUCAAAAACGAGCUUGGUGACAGUGCAGUAAUAUGCACACUUUGUCUUUAAAUUAGUUUGACAUAUCAAUAAAUACUGGAAAACUCUUACAAAAUUAUGUAUGUUC